UGGGGAAUUUUGGACAAUGGGGGAAACCCUGAUCCAGCCAUCCCGCGUGUGCGAUGAAGGCCUUCGGGUUGUAAAGCACUUUUGGCAGGAAAGAAACGUCAUGGGUUAAUACCCCGUGAAACUGACGGUACCUGCAGAAUAAGCACCGGCUAACUACGUGCCAGCAGCCGCGGUAAUACGUAGGGUGCAAGCGUUAAUCGGAAUUACUGGGCGUAAAGCGUGCGCAGGCGGUUCGGAAAGAAAGAUGUGAAAUCCCAGAGCUCACCUUUGGAACUGCAUUUUUAACUACCGGGCUAGAGUGUGUCAGAGGGAGGUGGAAUUCCGCGUGUAGCAGUGAAAUGCGUAGAUAUGCGGAGGAACACCGAUGGCGAAGGCAGCCUCCUGGGAUAACACUGACGCUCAUGCACGAAAGCGUGGGGAGCAAACAGG
RNAcentral lists this ribosomal RNA (429 nucleotides) under Acidobacteriota bacterium. Its description in RNAcentral is "Acidobacteria bacterium partial 16S ribosomal RNA". It matches the Rfam family "Bacterial small subunit ribosomal RNA", at positions 355 to 776 of the family's 1533-position model. Lineage: Bacteria; Pseudomonadati; Acidobacteriota. The record is from RNAcentral.